GCAAGUCGAGCGCAUCCUUCGGGAUGAGCGGCGGACGGGUUAGUAACGCGUGGGAACAUACCCAACUCUAAGGAAUAGCCACUGGAAACGGUGAGUAAUACCUUAUACGCCCUUUGGGGGAAAGAUUUAUCGGAGAAGGAUUAGCCCGCGUUAGAUUAGGUAGUUGGUGGGGUAAUGGCCUACCAAGCCUACGAUCUAUAGCUGGUUUGAGAGGAUGAUC
This 220-nucleotide ribosomal RNA is filed under the name uncultured bacterium. RNAcentral describes it as "partial 16S ribosomal RNA". It matches the Rfam family "Bacterial small subunit ribosomal RNA", at positions 57 to 305 of the family's 1533-position model. The record is from RNAcentral.